UCUCUGACUAAUUUCGCUUAGCAUAAUACCCUCCAGUUCCAUCCACAUAGUUGUAUAGUUUCUUUUAUAAGUCAGUGGAUGAAAGGUUCAAGCUCUAAGAAUCAGACAUCAAUAAAAAGUUCAGCAAAGCCCUUUAUUUUCUAUAGAUUAAUAUUAAACAACCAGAAUUUACAUACACAGAUAAUUUGCAGACAUUUCUCAGCCAUCCCAUGAAGGUAUCCAUUUCUGAUUGGUGAACUUCAAAAGCGUGAACAGAGAAUAUUAAGACCUGUCCCUCAGUUUUAACAUGAGAGGACAAAAAUAAGAAAAAGAGACCUGUCCAUAGUCAGGCUGCUGUACACAAUUGUGUCACUGUAUCUCUCACUUGAUGCAAUAUUUAUCCAACAUGUAUCCAAUUAUAGCUCUUUUUUCACAUUUGGAGCACUGAGUAAAAGGCUUCCUCAAGUCUCUGACAUUAACUUAGAUGAAUCAUCUCCUCUAGAGACUGCUCUUACUAGCUCUGCUACAAUCUAUCAGUGACCUUUUUCCACACCAAUCAAUUCCCAGAAGAAUACAUUGUCACAUGACAAAUGACGAAGAAAGUUCCCAAAUGGCUUCUGCAGGUUUAACUGGCAGUCCCCGGAUUAAAGAUUUACUCAACUCUUCCUGGAAAAUCAAGGCACUGAAGAAUUGAGAACACUUCACUCACUCAUUUAUUGGAACAACACAUCUAUUACUGACACCUUGCCGAGGAAGGGGAAUCUUACUUGAUCUUUGCCUAAACUCUCCCCUAAACUCUCAGAGCUGUGCCUGAAGAGGCAUGCGGGGAAUCAUGCACAUGCUGACAGUGGGAUGCCAGAGAUAAAGAAAAAUGGAAUCAUCACCAUUAGACCUAUCCUGCAAAAAAUGGAAAAGAUUUUAUUGAGGAAAUAAGAAAAAUGAUACAGGUCAAAAAUGUGGAUUUAUAUAAAAAAGGAAGUGCAUCAGAGAAGAAAUGCAUAAAGGUAAAUAAAGUUAAUUUUUAUCGUUUUUAAUAGAUCAAAAGUAACUUGUUUAUAUAAUUAAAUGUAUUUAUCUUUUUCUUAAUAAAUGGCAAAUAAAUGUUUAAAUAAUGAGUUAUAAUGUAUAUGGUGAUUAUAGCAUAUGAAAAAGUGAAAAGAACGGCAUUCAUGUAAAAAGGGGAAGGAAUAGUGUCAUUUACCUGCCCAAUUUGUCAUUUGCAGGUGUCAUUUGAAUGUGGCCUUACGUUAGUUUAAAAUCUAUGUGUCACCUCUAAGGAAAGCUCUAAAAUGUUUUUAAAGACCUGUAAUUGAUGCACUAAGAAGUGAAAAAAACUGGCUUUAUAUAAAAUGUUCAAUUAAAACCAGAGAACGCAGGAAAGUAAGCUUCUUGUAAUGAGUAGAAAACAGCUACAAACAUGGUUGAUAUCAAUGCAAGUGUUUCAAUAAGCACUUUAAAUAGGAAUGGUGUAUAAAUAGCAAUCAAAAUUCACAGUGAAUUUUAUUACAAGUGUAUAUUGUCCUCAAGCACCUAUUUGCAAUUCAGUGAUUCCGAUAGGCUAAAGUAAAGGUAUGGAGAAAGACACACCAUGCUAACAGUAAGCUAAGGAACUCUAGAGAAUUUAUAUUAAUUUUAUACUGUCAGGGGCAUAAAACUCACAGAAAUUGGCAGAACUGUCACAACCACAAGAAGUCUAAGAUGGUACAACUACUAAAUAUGAGUUAGUAUCCUUGAUGGGAUCUUAGAACACAAAAAGAACAUUAGCAAAAACCUGAGAAAGUCUGAAUGAAGUAUAGUCUUUGGUUAAUGAUAAUGUAUCAAUAUCAGUUUUGUUAAUGUUGUAAAUGUGCCUCGCUAACAUAAAAUCAUAGUAAUAGGGAAAUGAGAUUUUGGGGUAUAUGGGAAUUGUCUUUACUCUCUUCAUAGUAAUUAUGCAAAUGUGAAAGUUUUAAAAUGUAAGAUUUAUUUUUAAGAUUCUCCUAUGAUUUGUUUCCCUCUCUCUCUUUUUCCCCCUCCUGUAUAGUCAUCUGUUUGG
This is a long non-coding RNA of Prionailurus viverrinus (fishing cat), 2014 nucleotides long. RefSeq lists it as uncharacterized. NCBI's taxonomy places the organism in Eukaryota, Metazoa, Chordata, Mammalia, Carnivora, Felidae. The transcript is spliced from 4 exons. The record is from RefSeq and is a predicted model, not a curated record.